ACAUCCUCAACCUGCUUGGUUUUACCGAACCAAGUAGGCUUGGAAUUUGGAGGUUUUCUGCUGGCCUCCUCCGAAGCCAGCUCCUCUUAAAUGUAUCAGUGGGAUCCGCUUUGCUAGAUCCUCGACGUUGAUAAGAUGUUUCUACGUCUUGGAUUUCGCUCGGGAAGGCACCUGCUUCUAACCGUCCCCUCGGGGACAAUGUUCGAGCCGAUCGCCCUUCCCGGGGUGGGAAGCUUUCGACCCAUGAAA
RNAcentral lists this unclassified non-coding RNA (249 nucleotides) under Russula delica. RNAcentral's name for it is "partial internal transcribed spacer 2". Lineage: Eukaryota; Fungi; Basidiomycota; Agaricomycetes; Russulales; Russulaceae. The record is from RNAcentral.